This 484-nucleotide ribosomal RNA is filed under the name uncultured bacterium. RNAcentral's name for it is "partial 16S ribosomal RNA". It matches the Rfam family "Bacterial small subunit ribosomal RNA", at positions 28 to 507 of the family's 1533-position model. The record is from RNAcentral.
AUUGAACGCUGGCGGCAUGCUUUACACAUGCAAGUCGAACGGCAGCGCGGGCUUCGGCCUGGCGGCGAGUGGCGAACGGGUGAGUAAUGCAUCGGAACGUGCCCAGUAGUUGGGGAUAGCCCGGCGAAAGCCGGAUUAAUACCGCAUACGACCUGAGGGUGAAAGCGGGGGACCGAAAGGCCUCGCGCUUUUUGAGCUGCCGAUGUCGGAUUAGCUCGUUGGUGGGGUAAAGGCUUACCAAGGCGACGAUCCGUAGCUGGUCUGAGAGGACGACCAGCCACACUGGGACUGAGACACGGCCCAGACUCCUACGGGAGGCAGCAGUGGGGAAUUUUGGGCAAAGGGGGCAACCCUGAUCCAGCCAUGCCGCGUGAGGGAAGAAGGCCUUCGGGUUGUAAACCGCUUUUGUUCGGGAAGAAAUCCUCUGGGCUAAUACCCCGGGGGGAUGACGGUACCGGAAGAAUAAGCACCGGCUAACUACGUG